UAUAGUGAGAGAGAGAGAGAGAGAGAGAAAAACUCGUCAACUUAAGUGGACAAGAGGUGUUGUCCACCAAUGUUUUUAACCGUUGGAUUAGAUUUUAAUAUCAGAAUUUUGAUUAAAUGACGUGGCACGAAUUAAUUGCUAAGAGGGGUAUUUUCGUCUAAAAAAAUUAGGAAAUCUCUCUUAUAAUUGGAAAUCAGCACCGCCCCCUUAAUUGAUUUUGCAGCCUAAAAAAAAGGAAAUCAUCACCGCCUCUGCUUCAGACCUCCGCCCGCCCAGGCUACGAAAUCAUCACUGCGCUCUUUCAAUAUCCCCCAACAAUCCCUCUCGCCGUCCACGCGCUUCAGACCUCCGCCCGCCCAGGUUAGGAAAUCAGCCCUUCGCCCGUCCACGCGCUUCAAUAACCUUGACGAAGCUGACUGCUUCACUCAUGGCGGAAAAAAACUUAAGCGGAAAAAAACUUAAGCCCGUCUACUCGCUUCAGAGCGCCGCCGCUGGCCAGAGAUCCACCGCCCACUGGCCAAACAUCCGAUUCCCGCACGCGGGCCAAACAUCCGAUUCCUGCUCGCGCUCAGAACUCCGCCAUCCGUCCACUCGCUUCAGAACACCGUCGCUGGCCAGAGAUCCGCUGUUCCUUUGAAGAUUAAAAUCUUGUUAUGGUUGUCUAUUAGGGACAAAUUGAAUACAAAGGACAUACUGAUUAGAAAAGGGAUUGUGAUUGAGAAUAUAUGUGUAUUGUGUGGUGUCGAGGUUGAGACUCAUUAUCUUUUAUUUAUUUAUUUUUGUUUUUUUACAAUGGCCUUAUGUGGCUUCUUUAAGGGGAUCCAUUAAACAUAAAUUUGAUGUAACUGAUGAUUUUAUGAGAGUACAUGAGUUAUGAUCUUCAUGGAGAUUAUUUUGUGUGCCUCAUGUUUGAUGGUAGAA
Molecule: long non-coding RNA, 921 nt
Organism: Asparagus officinalis (garden asparagus)
Lineage: Eukaryota; Viridiplantae; Streptophyta; Magnoliopsida; Asparagales; Asparagaceae
Exons: 2
Source: RefSeq, a predicted model, not a curated record